This is a non-coding RNA of Brachypodium distachyon (stiff brome), 136 nucleotides long. The record is from Rfam. Lineage: Eukaryota; Viridiplantae; Streptophyta; Magnoliopsida; Poales; Poaceae.
CUGAUACUCCCUCCGUCCAACAAAGGAUGUCUCAAGUUUGUCAAAAUUUGAAUGUAUCUAAACAUGACUUAGUGUAUAGAUGCAUUCAAAUUUAGUCAAAGUUGAAACAUCCUUUCUUGGACGGAAUGAGUACAUU